RNAcentral lists this ribosomal RNA (504 nucleotides) under Triticum aestivum (bread wheat). RNAcentral's name for it is "partial small subunit ribosomal RNA". The record is from RNAcentral. Lineage: Eukaryota; Viridiplantae; Streptophyta; Magnoliopsida; Poales; Poaceae.
AUGACCGCGUUGGCGCAGGGUGAUGGUUGGUUUGGUGGCUGGAUCCGGAGCGCCAAAGGUGCGGGUUGGGAUCGAGGGAAACCCCUGUCGGCGGGGCCGACACAGACGCGGUGGCGCCUGUGGGUGCCACCUGACCUUCUGGGAGGGCGUCAUGGGCUACCCUUCCUCUCGCCUCGUCGUGUACCGUGGGAAACCCUUGGCAGCAGCAUCAUCAUCAUCGCGAUCCUUCUUGGAGGUGUUGAUAGGUGCCGCCGCUUCGGAGUCUUGGAGUCUAGUGGAAGAUCCCGGUGGGCGCUGCGAUCGCGAGGCUUCUUCGUUUUUGUUGAUCCGCCAUUGUCGGCAUUUGUUUUCUUUUGUUCUUUCUCUAUCGUUUUUUUUGGGCGUGACUAUGCUGCUUCCGCCCCAGCACAUAUUCAUGUAUGGUUUGGUUGGUUGCUUUGUAUACAAAGCGGGGAAACCCUUUUUCGGUAUUCCAGAGUAGUCGCCGGGGUGCUGGAUCCGUAG